GGGGAUAUAGCUCAGCUGAUAGAGUGCUUGCCUUGCAUGCAUUAAGCUGUGGGUCCAAACCCCAGCACCACCA
Molecule: transfer RNA, 73 nt
Filed under: Ictidomys tridecemlineatus (thirteen-lined ground squirrel)
Lineage: Eukaryota; Metazoa; Chordata; Mammalia; Rodentia; Sciuridae
Description: Spermophilus tridecemlineatus (thirteen-lined ground squirrel) tRNA
Rfam family: tRNA
About the family: Transfer RNA (tRNA) molecules are approximately 80 nucleotides in length.
Source: Rfam by way of RNAcentral